RNAcentral lists this ribosomal RNA (493 nucleotides) under uncultured bacterium. RNAcentral's name for it is "partial 16S ribosomal RNA". It matches the Rfam family "Bacterial small subunit ribosomal RNA", at positions 27 to 507 of the family's 1533-position model. The record is from RNAcentral.
GAGUGAACGCCGGCGGUAGGCCUAACACAUGCAAGUCGAACGGCAGCACAGUAAGAGCUUGCUCUUACGGGUGGCGAGUGGCGGACGGGUGAGGAAUACAUCGGAAUCUACUUUUUCGUGGGGGAUAACGUAGGGAAACUUACGCUAAUACCGCAUACGACCUACGGGUGAAAGCAGGGGAUCUUCGGACCUUGCGCGAUUGAAUGAGCCGAUGUCGGAUUAGCUAGUUGGCGGGGUAAAGGCCCACCAAGGCGACGAUCCGUAGCUGGUCUGAGAGGAUGAUCAGCCACACUGGAACUGAGACACGGUCCAGACUCCUACGGGAGGCAGCAGUGGGGAAUAUUGGACAAUGGGCGCAAGCCUGAUCCAGCCAUACCGCGUGGGUGAAGAAGGCCUUCGGGUUGUAAAGCCCUUUUGUUGGGAAAGAAAAGCAGCAGGUUAAUACCCCGCUGUUCUGACGGUACCCAAAGAAUAAGCACCGGCUAACUUCGUG